GGGAACAGGAAGUUAUAAAGGAAACAGGAAGUUGAGGGUUGUUUCUUUAAUCUUCAAGGCUGCCCACAGCAGGCAGCAACAGCAAUGUGCAGCUCCUGCAAUUGAAAGACAAUGUUUCGAUUUAGUUUGGACCAACAAAGACAAUCCUCAUAGCAAAGCAUGCACAGACAAAGUUACUGUGACACUGAAGAUGCAGAGGAUUAAAAUACCUCAUUCAGUACAGCUGCAAAUAGACGACAGAUACGGUAGCUACAUGCUAAUGCUAAGCUACAUGCUAAUGCUAAGCCACAUGUUAAGGCUAAACCACAUGGUGUGCUACAUCAGAUGCAAUGCAUAACAAGGCUAAUGCUAAGCUACAUGCUAAUGCUAACAUACAUGCUAAGCCACAUGGUAUGCUACAUCAGAUGCAAUGCAUAACAAGGCUAAUGCUAAGCUACAUGCUAACGCUGCACCUUAAGUUCAGUAAAGGAACUUACAUUGCU
Non-coding RNA from Labrus bergylta (ballan wrasse), 482 nucleotides. Lineage: Eukaryota; Metazoa; Chordata; Actinopteri; Labriformes; Labridae. The record is from RefSeq and is a predicted model, not a curated record.